AGUUUGAUCCUGGCUCAGGAUGAACUCUGGCGGCGUGCCUGAGAUAUGCAAGUCGAGCGAAGUCCCGAUCGCAAGAUCGGGGUUCAGCGGCAGACGGCUGAGUAAUGCAUAGGUAUUUGCCCCUUUCUAGGAAAUAGCCCCGCGAAAGCGGGGGUAAUCGCCUAUGAUUCCCGACUUUAAGUUGGGAUAAAGAAAGUAACUUUUUGGAGAGGGAUAAGCCUAUGUCCUAUCAGGUAGUUGGUAGGGUAACGGCCUACCAAGCCUAUUACGGGUAGCUGGCCCGAGAGGGUGGUCAGCCAGAGGGGUACUGAGACACGGACCCCACUCCUACGGGAGGCAGCAAUCAGGAAUAGUCGGCAAUGGGCGAAAGCCUGACCGCGCGACGCCGCGUGCGAGAAGAAGCUCUUAUCGAGUGUAAAUCGCUGUGGUAGGGGAAGAAGGGCAGCUUAGCUGUCUUGACGGUACCCUAUUAGAAAGUAGCCGCUAACUGCGUGCCAGAAGCGUCGGUAAUACGUGGGCUACAAGCGUUAUCCGGUUUUAUUGGGCGUAAAGGGUCGUGUAGGCGUCUUAACAAGUUUUUACUUAAAGACUAAGGCUUAACCUUAACAAAAGUAAAAAUACUGUUAGGAUUGAGUUAUCUUUAGGGAGACUGGAACUUAGGGAGGAGUAGUGAAAUGCGUUGAUACCCUAGGGAACACCAGUGGCGAAGGCGAGUCUCUGAAAGGUAACUGACGCUGAGACACUAAAGCUAGGGGAGCGAAGCAGAUUAGAGACCUGCGUAGUCCUAGCCCUAAACGCAUGUUUGCUAGCUGCAUUUGUUUAACCGUAAGGUUUAAACUUGUGUGGCGCAGGUAACCCGUUAAGCAAACCGCCUGGGGAGUACGACCGCAAGGUUAAAACUCAAAGGAAUUGGCGGGGAGGCACACAACCAGUGGAACAUGUGGUUCAAUUCGAUACAAACCGAAGAACCUCACCAAGACUUGACAUCCUAGCGUUCUAUUUCAUAGAAAUAUGGAAAAUCCGUAAGGAGGCUAGGACAGGUGCUGCAUGGCUGUCGUCAGUUCGUUCCGUGAGGAGUACCCUUAAGUGGGACAACGAACGCAACCCCUAUUCUGUGUUAUAUUUGUCACAGAAGACAGCCUCGACAUUUGUCGGGGAGGAAGGAGGGGCAGACGUCAAGUCAGCAUGGUCCUUAUGUCUUGGGCAACACACAUGUUACAAUGAAAAGAACAACGAGUCUUGCCACUUAGCAAUAAGGAGCAAAUCUCUUAAAUCUUUUCUCAGUGGGGAUUGAGGUCUGCAACUCGACCUCAUGAACGCGGAAUUGGUAGUAAUCGCGGAUCAGUCAUGCCGCGGUGAAUACGUUCUUGCCUCUUGCACACACCGCCCGUCAAGCCAACAAAGUCGGGAUAAUUUGAACCCCGCCUUUGGCGGGGGAGAAUUAUUUCGGCGAUGGGGGUUAAGUCGUAACAAGGUAACC
RNAcentral lists this ribosomal RNA (1480 nucleotides) under uncultured bacterium. RNAcentral describes it as "bacterial SSU rRNA". It matches the Rfam family "Bacterial small subunit ribosomal RNA". The record is from RNAcentral.